CAUUUCAAACCUCAAGCCCUGCUUGGUGUUGGGUUUCUACGGCUCCUGUAGGCUCCAAAAACCAGUGGCGGGCUCGCUAUAAGUCCGAGCGCAGUACAUGUAUCUCGCUUGGGAAGUGUAGCGGGCUCCAGCCGCAACCCCCCCCAAACUUACACCACAAGGUUGACCUCGGAUCAGGUAGGAAUACCCGCUGAACUUAA
Molecule: unclassified non-coding RNA, 200 nt
Filed under: soil metagenome
Description: partial contains internal transcribed spacer 2 and large subunit ribosomal RNA
Source: RNAcentral